AAGGAAUUGACGGGGGCCCGCACAAGCGGUGGAGCAUGCGGUUUAAUUCGAAGCAACGCGCAGAACCUUACCAGCCCUUGACAUCCCGGUCGCGGUUUCCAGAGAUGGAUACCUUCAGUUCGGUUGGACCGGUGACAGGUGCUGCAUGGCUGUCGUCAGCUCGUGUCGUGAGAUGUUGGGUUAAGUCCCGCGACGAGCGCAACCCUCGUCUUCAGUUGCCAUCAGGUUUGGCUGGGCACUCUGAAGAAACUGCCGGUGACAAGCCGGAGGAAGGUGGGGGUGACGUCAAGUCCUCAUGGCCCUUACGGGCUGGGCUACACACGUGCUACAAUGGCGGUGACAAUGGGUUGCGAUCCCGCGAGGGGGAGCUAAUCCCAAAAAACCGUCUCAGUUCGGAUUGCAGUCUGCAACUCGACUGCAUGAAGUCGGAAUCGCUAGUAAUCGCGGAUCAGCAUGCCGCGGUGAAUCCGUUCCCGGGCCUUGUACACACCGCCCGUCACACCAUGGGAGUUGGCUGACCCGAAGCUGGUGCGCUAACCGCAAGGAGGCAGCCAACCAC
RNAcentral lists this ribosomal RNA (559 nucleotides) under uncultured bacterium. RNAcentral's name for it is "bacterial SSU rRNA". It matches the Rfam family "Bacterial small subunit ribosomal RNA", at positions 903 to 1460 of the family's 1533-position model. The record is from RNAcentral.